This 253-nucleotide ribosomal RNA is filed under the name uncultured Prevotella sp. RNAcentral describes it as "partial 16S ribosomal RNA". It matches the Rfam family "Bacterial small subunit ribosomal RNA", at positions 524 to 776 of the family's 1533-position model. The record is from RNAcentral. Lineage: Bacteria; Pseudomonadati; Bacteroidota; Bacteroidia; Bacteroidales; Prevotellaceae.
UACGGAGGAUUCAAGCGUUAUCCGGAUUUAUUGGGUUUAAAGGGAGCGUAGGCCGGUCUUUAAGCGUGCCGUGAAAUUUUGUGGCUCAACCAUGAGAGUGCGGCGCGAACUGGAGACCUUGAGUGCGCGGAAGGCAGGCGGAAUGCGUGGUGUAGCGGUGAAAUGCAUAGAUAUCACGCAGAACCCCGAUUGCGAAGGCAGCAUACCGGCGCCCGACUGACGCUGAGGCACGAAAGUGCGGGUAUCGAACAGG